RNAcentral lists this transfer RNA (71 nucleotides) under Marmota monax (woodchuck). It matches the Rfam family "tRNA". Rfam says of the family: Transfer RNA (tRNA) molecules are approximately 80 nucleotides in length. Their secondary structure includes four short double-helical elements and three loops (D, anti-codon, and T loops). Lineage: Eukaryota; Metazoa; Chordata; Mammalia; Rodentia; Sciuridae. The record is from Rfam by way of RNAcentral.
GUGGUUGUAGCUCAGUGGUAGAGCGCCUGCCUAGCAUGUGUGAGGCACUGGGUUCAAUCCUCAGCACCACA